AGCCUCCUGGCGCUUACCACAAGCUAUGUUCUUACACUGACUGUACAGAAAGAGGAAGCAGAGUAUAAAUCCACCCAUAUACACCCCAGCCUAGGUGCUUUGCCUGGUCUGUAUUGUGAAUGGGGGGACAUGG
Small nucleolar RNA from Hyaena hyaena (striped hyena), 133 nucleotides. RefSeq annotates it as small nucleolar RNA SNORA51. Lineage: Eukaryota; Metazoa; Chordata; Mammalia; Carnivora; Hyaenidae. The transcript has a single exon. The record is from RefSeq and is a predicted model, not a curated record.